Apteryx owenii (little spotted kiwi) is the source of this 112-nucleotide ribosomal RNA. The record is from Ensembl. Lineage: Eukaryota; Metazoa; Chordata; Aves; Apterygiformes; Apterygidae.
GCUUGCAUUCAUAUCAUCAUUGUCUAUGAUCUCAACUCAUAAAUUAAGUAAGGUUGGGUUUUGUCAGUUCUUGGAUAGGAGGCCUCCAAGGAAAACCCAGAUGGUGCAGGCA